Molecule: long non-coding RNA, 1002 nt
Organism: Monodelphis domestica (gray short-tailed opossum)
Lineage: Eukaryota; Metazoa; Chordata; Mammalia; Didelphimorphia; Didelphidae
Source: RefSeq, a predicted model, not a curated record
AACUCCAACUGCCCUUUUCACUGUAAGACCUUUAGCCUGGCAAGUGUCUCCCUAAGCUAAAUAUUUGUCCCGAGCUCACCAAAUGUUCCAACAAUGCUUGACAAAGCAUGAAGAUUUUCUCCAGCAGCCCCAAAUUAAUACUUUCUUUCUUCAGGCAAAUUGGCCAGAAAGUGAUUUAAUGGCCCUUUGGAAAGUGCCAACCACUCAAAGUGAGUACAAGUUACACCUGUGGAGAAAUGUACCUGUUUGUUCAUGGAGAAUUUGGGGAUCUGGAAGAGGAAGGGAAUCUUUACAGGCGCCCGGAGAUGCUGCCACUCACUUGGUUAACAGUUUGUUUUUAAAAACUGCAGACUUUUGAGUUUUGGGGAUUUUAUAUAAGUUAUGCCACGGGCAGAAAAAUACUAGGGAAAAUCACCGCAGGGCCUGGUACUCAGAACUUACAGACUGCUGACAACCCUAGAGUUUAGCAAAUCUUCUCGAAAAGCCCCGAGUUUUACAUUUGCUAACAAGCCACACCUGCCAGUAAUUCCAUCCUUCCGACUUCCCCUCCCACUGUGUUUACUGUUCAGAUGCGCAGAUAAAGUGCAAUGGUAGUCAGGCUCUUGCAGGUGGCUGGAAACUUUCUGGGCAGGUCGGGGCCACUGACUUGUUGGGAGGAGACAGCUUUGGAAAACGUUCGAACUUGAGGCUAUUCUGCAGCUCCUCACCGAAGCUUUCUGCUUUUCAGUUUAUCAUAUUCCCAUCUCAUACUGAGGCAUUUUGGGCAAGAGUUUACUUCAUUGAAAGCACUGGGACAGACCCAGGAGCAAUGGUUGGAGACUACAGAAAGGCGAAUUGAAUAUUAAUGUCAAAGGAAAUAUCUUAACAAAUGCAGCUAUAAAAAUAGUAAAAUCACCUAUAUUUGGGCUCUUCCUCAAUGAAAAUCAUCCAUGAAAGACUAUGUGACUACUUGUCAGAAUUUCUUAUUGUGUGCUGAUGCCUGCUUUCAUCCAUUACUCUCUA